Long non-coding RNA from Eriocheir sinensis (Chinese mitten crab), 657 nucleotides. RefSeq lists it as uncharacterized. The transcript is spliced from 4 exons. The record is from RefSeq and is a predicted model, not a curated record. NCBI's taxonomy places the organism in Eukaryota, Metazoa, Arthropoda, Malacostraca, Decapoda, Varunidae.
GUUGGCGAUGACAUUUACCGUCUGGCGAGGGAGCAGCCGUGGGUGGUGGCAGCAACUCAUCGAGCGGCGUGGAGGAGGGAGCCGCCAGGGUGGACCACGCCUACAGCCUGCACGUCACCGCCCGCCAUGCACUAAGGGCUGUGGGCGUGCAUGACCGCCAACCAAAGACUCAGCCCAGAGGAAGAGCCAGGCCAGCACCACCACAGGGACAGAGGACGAUGAGGAGAGUGUUCCAACGCUGCUCCAACUCAAGGUUCAUAGGCCACACCCUGAGCCCUGCCAAGAUGUCCUGCCAGGUGGUCGGCCUCCACCCCUACACCUCCCACUGGUUCCUCCUGCUGCCCCACUACAAGGAUGUGCCAAGUAUGCCCUCCAGCCUGCAGUCCUUGGAUGAUUGCAAGUAGCGUAAGUUAACAAAAGAGUAAAGCAACAGUUAAUGUCCGCAUGACAGAUGGAGUGAGGUGUGGGUGCAGUAAGGUGACAGGUUACUGGUGCGUGCCUAGUACCGCCGGUAAAACGAGGAUCAAGCCUCCACCUCACCCAUCACCCUCCGCGUGCCGUGGAUUAAGGCCAACCUUAACGUGUGCAUAUCUGGUGAGCUCUGGGACCACCCUGCCCUCCCUCACCCACAGGGAUGAGCUUAUCAAGGAGUGGGCG